GACGAACGUUGGCGGCGUGCUUAAUACAUGCAAGUCAACUGAAGCAGUGGUAGCAAUAUCGCUGUGGAGGUGGCGCACGGGUGAGUAACACGUAGGUAAUCUGCCUUCAGGUCUGGCAUAACUCCGGGAAACCGGGGCUAAUAGCAGAUGAUGCAGCGGCUCGACAUCGAGACAGUUGUUAAAGCUAUGGCGCCUGAAGAUGAGCCUGCGUCUGAUUAGCUAGUUGGCGGGGUAACGGCCCACCAAGGCAACGAUCAGUAGCUGGUCUGAGAGGAUGAUCAGCAACACUGGAACUGAGACACGGUCCAGACUCCUACGGGAGGCAGCAGUAAGGAAUAUUGCUCAAUGGGAGAAAUCCUGAAGCAGCAACGCCGCGUGAGGGACGAAGGGCUUUUGCUUGUAAACCUCUGUAGUGAGAGAAAAAAAUCCCAAUCUUUGGGACAUGAUGGUAGCUCAAAAGUAAGCCCCGGCUAACUACGUG
RNAcentral lists this ribosomal RNA (481 nucleotides) under uncultured bacterium. RNAcentral's name for it is "partial 16S ribosomal RNA". It matches the Rfam family "Bacterial small subunit ribosomal RNA", at positions 28 to 507 of the family's 1533-position model. The record is from RNAcentral.